GGAGACGUAUCGAAGUGGUCAUAACGGGGCUGACUCGAAAUCAGUUAGCGCAUUCGCGCCCGCGAGUUCGAAUCUCGCCGUCUCCGCCA
RNAcentral lists this transfer RNA (89 nucleotides) under Oscillospiraceae bacterium. RNAcentral describes it as "tRNA-Ser". It matches the Rfam family "tRNA". From Rfam's summary of the family: Transfer RNA (tRNA) molecules are approximately 80 nucleotides in length. Their secondary structure includes four short double-helical elements and three loops (D, anti-codon, and T loops). The record is from RNAcentral. Lineage: Bacteria; Bacillati; Bacillota; Clostridia; Eubacteriales; Oscillospiraceae.